Molecule: ribosomal RNA, 625 nt
Filed under: Escherichia coli
Lineage: Bacteria; Pseudomonadati; Pseudomonadota; Gammaproteobacteria; Enterobacterales; Enterobacteriaceae
Description: bacterial SSU rRNA
Rfam family: Bacterial small subunit ribosomal RNA
Source: RNAcentral
AUCAGCUUGCUGAUUUGCUGACGAGUGGCGGACGGGUGAGUAAUGUCUGGGAAACUGCCUGAUGGAGGGGGAUAACUACUGGAAACGGUAGCUAAUACCGCAUAACGUCGCAAGACCAAAGAGGGGGACCUUCGGGCCUCUUGCCAUCGGAUGUGCCCAGAUGGGAUUAGCUAGUAGGUGGGGUAACGGCUCACCUAGGCGACGAUCCCUAGCUGGUCUGAGAGGAUGACCAGCCACACUGGAACUGAGACACGGUCCAGACUCCUACGGGAGGCAGCAGUGGGGAAUAUUGCACAAUGGGCGCAAGCCUGAUGCAGCCAUGCCGCGUGUAUGAAGAAGGCCUUCGGGUUGUAAAGUACUUUCAGCGGGGAGGAAGGGAGUAAAGUUAAUACCUUUGCUCAUUGACGUUACCCGCAGAAGAAGCACCGGCUAACUCCGUGCCAGCAGCCGCGGUAAUACGGAGGGUGCAAGCGUUAAUCGGAAUUACUGGGCGUAAAGCGCACGCAGGCGGUUUGUUAAGUCAGAUGUGAAAUCCCCGGGCUCAACCUGGGAACUGCAUCUGAUACUGGCAAGCUUGAGUCUCGUAGAGGGGGGUAGAAUUCCAGGUGUAGCGGUGAAAUGCGUA